This is a long non-coding RNA of Balaenoptera ricei (Rice's whale), 1173 nucleotides long. RefSeq lists it as uncharacterized. The transcript has 4 exons. Lineage: Eukaryota; Metazoa; Chordata; Mammalia; Artiodactyla; Balaenopteridae. The record is from RefSeq and is a predicted model, not a curated record.
CCAGCCCCAGUUCUGUCUCUUAGUAACUGGUAGGCAGGAUAACGGCUUCCCAGCACCGUUCAUGUCCUAAUCUCCAGAAUUUGUGAAGGGCCUUUGCAGGUGUGAUUAGAUUAAGGCUCUUGAUACGGGGAGAUGAUCCUGGAUUAUCCAGGUGGCCCAAUGUCAUCACGAGGGUCCGUAACGUGGGAAAAGGAGGCAGGAGAGUCAGAAUCAGAGAGAUUUGAAGACGUGACCGUGCUGGCUUUGCAGGUGGGGGAGGGCCCACCAGCCAAGGAGCACAGGCGCCUCUAGAAGCUGGAAAAAGCCAGGAAACAGAUUCCUUCCUGGAGCCACCAGAAGGAACACAGCUUUGCCCACACUUUGAUUUUAGCCCACGGAGACCCCUUGCAGACUUCUGACCUCCUGAACUAUAAGGAUUACAGAAUUCCUCAGAGUCUCCCUGGUCUUUGGAAAGACCUUUAUAGCACUCAGCAGCCUUUCUUCAUGCCGAUACGAUCGAUGUGAUGAAGCCAGGCCAAUAGGGUCCCCAAGAGCGCCCGCCAAGGCAAGUUUCCAAAAACUCGGGGACCGAAACUGACGGACAUCGAGGUCUGGGACAAACAUUUUGAUUUAUCCAGCACCUGUGUAUUGAGCCCGCACUGGGAACCAGAACCAGGAGACACAAGGGUAGAGAGAUGAUGGAGACCAGCGGCCCAGGACCUCCGGGACCUUUUUCCCAGCCACCAGCACUGCUACUGUCUCGGCUCUCAGGCCCUCUGCCCAAGAGAAAGAAACCACAGUACCCACAUGGAGUCAUUUGCCUCCAGGACAGCAAUCAAGACAACUGCAGGGGCUUCCCUGGUGGCGCAGUGGUUAAGAAUCUGCCUGCCAAUGCAGGGGACAUGGGUUCGAGCCCUGCCAAUGCAGGGGACACGGGUUCGAGCCCUGGUCCACGAAGAUCCCACAUGCCGCGGAGCAGCUAAGCCCGUGCACCACAACUACUGAGCCUGUGCUCUAGAGCCCGCGAGCCACAACUACUGAGCCCAUGUGCCACAACUACUGAGCCCGCACGCCUAGAGCCCGUGCUCCGCAACAAGAGAAGCCACCGCAAUGAGAAGCCCGCGCACCACAACGAAGAGUAGCCCCCGCUCUCUGCAACUAGAGAAAGCCCAUGUGCAGCAACGAAGACCCAAC